This is a non-coding RNA of Microcebus murinus (gray mouse lemur), 243 nucleotides long. The record is from RefSeq and is a predicted model, not a curated record. NCBI's taxonomy places the organism in Eukaryota, Metazoa, Chordata, Mammalia, Primates, Cheirogaleidae.
CAUGUUCUCGUCACACCUUGGGUGAUUUAGAAAGACUGCAAACAAUGGAACAGAAAGCCUAUUAUUUUCUUGGUCCAUCCUAAUCAGUCAGCGACACACCUGUGGAAUGCCAGUCUGUGCUAGGAACGGGAAGGUGAUAACCCACACCAGCCCUACCCUCGAGGGCUUGAUGGUCUAGCGAAGGAAGGAAGAAAUACAUAGUCCUGGAAGAAGCAAGGUGGUGUCCAAUGCUGACAGGGCGUG